GAGAAAUUCAUGAAUUGAUUCAAGAUAUGGUCUGUCCAAGCAUAGAGUAUUUAGAGAUAAAAACACACCUUGGAAUUUAGUGAUAAACAUUGAAUCUAUGGGUGUGUCGCACAGGAUAUGCUUUGAUCGUGUACAGUAGUAAUGGAGAGCGGAUCUCAAGGCCACGAUUUAUAACAGAAUGUGCUGGGUGUAAUGGUUGAUGAGUCCGCGACAAAAGGCGCCGUCGACCGUAACACCCAAGACAUUUAAAUAUGUAAGUUAGCCCGUUGUCCACCCUCGACAGAAUAUUGUAAAGGUACGAUAGAGCAGUGACGAGGUGUGAUUUCUGUGUAAGAAAGUAUAGCGAUAGAAAGGUGGACUCUCUAGAAAUGUUAAUUAAUUCAUGGAGAAAUAUUGAUCGAUGCUAACCAAUAUCUGAGUACAUGACGAUGCACAGGUAUCUACAGAAUCUUGAUGAGAAAGAUGAAGUCCUGUAGAGUUCUGACGUUCUUAGUGAUUGUCCUGUCUUGAAGAUAGUGUCCAACACGAAAGAAUGAAACCAAAGAAGCUAUACAUAUCACGGUACAUCGAAAGUACAUUUGCCGCUUUUGUUAUUGGAGCAUGCGUGUUUACCGUUAUAACGACAAUAUCAACAUCCUCCAAACGCAAGGCAUCACACGCGAACAGAAGUCCGAAUGCAUUAAGACAAGAGCGAGAGUCAUUUUUGUUCUCUUUAUUGCGGGGAAGUAAGAGCGCUAAACAAGAAGAUAUGAAAGAACAACCACAAUUAAUUGAUAGUUACCCUGACCAUACGAGAGAAUGGUUUAACAGGACUACUGCCAAAAAAUUCAUCCCCGUAGGACCACAUCCUAAUCUCACUACACCCAUCAUAUCUAAUACUCAUAUAUGUAACUCAUCGGAGGUAGAUAUCUUGAUUUAUUUUCAUAGUUUAUGGAGUCAUUUCGAGCACCGUAGAAUACUUCGCGAGUCCUGGGCCAAUAAGAACGUGUUCUCAGACAUCAAAGUGAGAACAAUUUUCAUUCUUGGAAAACCACCGACCAAGGAGGAGCAGUUAAUGAUAGUGAACGAGAAUUUGAAUACUCGGGAUAUCGUACAGGGUAACUUUGAAGAUACUCACGGAAAUUUAACA
Saccostrea cuccullata (small rock oyster) is the source of this 1129-nucleotide long non-coding RNA. RefSeq lists it as uncharacterized. The record is from RefSeq and is a predicted model, not a curated record. Lineage: Eukaryota; Metazoa; Mollusca; Bivalvia; Ostreida; Ostreidae. The transcript is spliced from 3 exons.